UUUGGUUGGCUAUUUGAUCGGCAUUUAUAAAGAUCCCAUGGAAUCCAUAUGGAACUCCAGCAGGCAGGCAGCUCUAUAGAAGCCACUAUCUCAAGUGUGGGCGAUUUGGCAUCCAUGACCAAAAGCUCCGAGACACCAUUUUUCUCAUCAUGGAUGUAGCUUAAGAUGACAUAUCCAUCGUCUUCCUCCUCGCCAUUCGCCACAAAACUUACCAUGUUCGAAUCUCCUUGACGCCACACCAGAUUGACCUUGGCCAGGCCGCAGAUUUUGGGCCAUGGCCCAUAGUAGCACAUGUAGACGUACCGGUUCUUCUGCCCCAGGAAUUUCUGGUUGAUCUUUCCAAAAUCCAGCCCCGCCGAGCACACAUGUUGCUUCCACGACCGUCCAGAUCGAAGGUCCAGGUGGAUCUUGUGCAAUCUGUUGGCCAAUCUGGCGAAAUCGUCAAACAGAUGUUCCACUGGCGUAAUGGACACGACGAUCUUGUCCAUCCCUUCCUCCCAGGCGUGGAUGUAGUGGAAUUACAUCCAAUCCAGGACGUCGAUCCGGAAGAUCCCACGGCCAGGAUGCCGGGGAGGAUCAAUCUGGGACCCUUGGGCAGUAUCUCCAUCAAUGACCAAUUUGUUCUUGAGCACUACAUCCUGGAAAUUCAACUCUUUUCCUCCCGUCUGGGCUUGCCUAGAAGUAACAGAAGUGGUGAUUGAUCACUGAAGUUAACCAUGAAGAACUUACCAAAGAUUUCUAUUUUUGAUGAGCACAAGUGAAAUCUAGGCUAUUAUUCAUGUAAAAUCUAACCUUGGGCUUCACUAAUCUACCUACUACCCCUCCUAAUGCAUCUUGGGUUAGAACCUCAAUGCAAUCCUCACCUAGUUGUUAGUGAGUGGUUGAACCAUUUGAUGUGGCAGUUAACUGAGGUGAAGAGUAAAGUGGGGGGUUAUGCACUAAAAAUCCCACAAUGGGUAUUUAAAUUAUAUAAGCAUGGGAUUUUGGUCAAAAACUAUAUAUGUGCAUAAUUCUAAAAUAAAGUUACACUGCUAGGAAUUUUAUAUAAAAUUUUAGGAAGAAUGAUUUGAAUUUUAUUAGACAGAAUUGUGGUAUGUUUUCAUUUUCAUUAACAAUUCUAGUUAUUCCUAAUAUGUACUGCCAAAUUGAUUUAUUUUAAAAAUUGUUCUAUUUUUUAUUCUAGGAAUUUUGGCUUAUAUUUUCUACUUUAAAUCACUAAUCCUGGACAAUGCUCUUGUUAGCUAGUGUUGCAACUAUGUUGUGAAUCUCAUUUAAACUCAUGUUAUAGAGUCAACAAUAGUGUUAUAAAUUUGGUAACUUCUUCUUAAGUACCUCUAUGAACUUUUUGAGAGAUAAUUAUAAAAAGUUUAGUGAAGUAUCUAACUUAUAGCUCUGGUGUUGUGUGAGUGAAUGAGUGAAUCUUAAAGUAAAUAUGCUAGCUACAUUGGUGUCACUGAUAGAAAUCCUAAUUUGCAAAAGAGAACUAAGUCUAAAAUGGUCACACUUGUUUAGGGUAGGUUCACUCAAAGGGUUAAAAAACCUAUUAUAUACCUUUAGAGUAAAGGUUUAAAUGCUUUUUUAAGUAUAUUCUUGGUGUUGCCUAAUCUAAAAUUUAAGUGUUAUUAGGGGUUUAAAUAAAAGCCUAACUAAUUGAGAUAUAUGAUCUUCUUUUCUCAAACCUUAUAUGUAUGGUUUUUGAGACAAGUUGAGUGUAGACAUAUUUGCUCGAGCCUUGUCAAAUGCCUUUCCAUCUAUGAACAUGAUUGUGAGACACAAAAUCCCUAGGCCCCAAAGUGGAGCCGGAAAGGGUGCCACGUGGUAGUGGCUGAAGCGAGAGCCAAACGAGCGUAACACGUUUGGACCAAAAGCUCCGACUUGAAAAGUCAAGAGCGGGAGUGGAACUCCCAACGAAGUGCUCGAGGAACGAGCAUGAAGCGAGCAAAAGGCGAGGCUCCAAAAAGGGACCCAAAAGGACCAACACAUGACACGGGGGAGUGUCCGAGAUGGACCCGAGUUGGAGUCCGAAGUGGAGUCCGAGAUGGACCCGAGUUGGAGUCCGAAGUGGAGUCCGAGAUGGACCCGAGUUGGAGUCCGAAGUAGAGUCCGAGAUGGACCCGAGAUGGAGUCCGAGAUGGAGUCCGAAGUGGAGUCCGAGGUGGACCCGAGUUGGAGUCCGAAGUGGAGUCCGAGAUGGACCCGAGAUGGAGUCCGAGAUGGAGUCCGAGAUGGAGUCCGAGAUGGAGUCCGAGAUGGAGUCCGAGAUGGAGUCCGAAGUCGAGACCGAGACCGAGACCGGGACCGAGACCGAGACCGAGACCGAGACCGAGACCGAGAUCAGGAUCGAGACCGAGACCGAGACCGAGGCCGAGGCCGAGACCGAGCCCGAGCCCGAGUCCGAGUCCGAAUCCGAGUCCGAGUCCGAGUCCGAGUCCGAGUCCGAGUCCGAGUCUGGAGCCUGAGAGGGUGAAAGCCCAAAGCGUUCGUCUCCCAGACCCUGGGGGGUUUGGUGAGCUCCAAAAGUAUAGUAAGGGGAGGACUGCAGUGGAGCCAGUUUGGCCAGGAAAGGCCAGUUUGGCCCAGGAAGGCUGGACCCAGUGUUGGGUGAUGAGCUGCCCACUGGGAAGUCUAAGACUAGAGUGAACACAGACCGACAAGCGGGGUAGCUUGGUGAAGUGUUCAAGAGCCGGCUCUAGUUCCCCCGGGAGAUCGACUGGCCGAUGCUCCCAGUCCAAGUGUGGGUGGCACUACCUACUUGGAUACCUGGUGUGGCUCAACGGAACCCGCUCUAAGCCCAUGGCUAGAGCACCCAAGGGCAGAAGGCGAGGAGAGUACCCAGGUGGCUCGCGUAAGGCCACGGUGUUCCGAAAUGUUGUCCCAAAGGCCCAGACUGUGGAAAGGAAGAGGAGUAGUCCUCUGGGGUAGUGACCAAGGACACAGUCGUGUGGUGGGGAAGUCCCAGAGGACCGUGGGACUUAGUGGUCGGGCCUGUGGGUCUCGAUCCAGUGGCAGUGUUGGCAAACACGGCCAGGGGCAGAAAGGGACUUAGUGGGGACUGACAGAGGGAUAUUGGGGAAGGCUAUUCCCCUUGUCGGUGGGCAUCCUAAGGAUGCUAAGGAGUGGAUCUGAGAUGACCACUCAUGGAUGGUUUGCCUAGUCUUGGAGAGCCAAGACGGUGAUGCAAGUGGUAUUGGACUACCAGUGUGGCAAAGGUGAUUGGGCAUGGCCUUAGCGUAACAGGCUGCUAUGUCGGUGGUACCUUUGAGUGUCGGUCAUGGGAUCGGACACGUGGAGCACUUGGACCAAGUGCAAAUGUUGAGUGGCAUGGAUGCCAUUCUCGGGGCUAGCAAGUCCCAAGUCCUGGAUUGGACUUAUGGAGGUUGUGAAUGAGACUCCUCCAAGUGGUCAGAGGUGUGGUUAAGUGACUAAAGUAGAAUGGAAAAUUUAGUCCCUUACAAUGAUGAAUUUUAGAGUAUUUUUUAAGCUUAGUUGUUAAUGAGUUUCAUGGCAUCCUUGUGCAUAUGUUUCCUACUUGAGAAUAGGUUGUAAAGAAAAUAGAAAAAUGUUUCAAACCUCAAAAGAUGAGGAAGAACUACAAGCACAAGACAAAGUAAUGACACCACUUUCUUCCAUAAAUUUUUAAUCCCUCUAAAAAAUUAUAACCCUAGCAAGCAUUAAUCUAAGCUAAAUUCUUAGUGCUUAUGUGUUGUGAUGCAAUCUAGAAUUAGUGCUGUGACAACACACCCUAGAGCAAUGGUGUGCCUUGGCAAACAAAAGUCUUUGCAAAUCUACAUUCCAUCCCUAAUAAUAGUUGGAAAUGCCAAAGCUACAAGAUUUCUCAAGAUUGUUCAAUUUAGAGAAUACUAUGCUGCUUGACACUUAAUGGCAUCUACCCUAAACCCUAGAUCUAACUUCAAACACUCAAACCAAGAGAUUGUUCCUGAAUAACCUUUGAAUAAUUCAAAGAUAAUUCCCAAACCUUGAUAAAGAAAUAAACCAUUAGAUAAUGUCCCAGGAAAGAGAAUGCCACCACCAACUCUCACAGCCUGGAUUACGUUUGAUGCAUCAAGCAACACAAAAGUACUUGAACAAUACCCAUUUAACAAAGGGAUGUUAGAGCAUAGAAUAUACCUCAAUCUUGCCUUUAAGAUUUGUGAAAUUUCUUCUUGGAUAGAAUGGCAUCUACACAAAAACUUUAAAGAAUUAGCACUUAUACCAUUGAUGUUUAGGAAGAAAUUUAUAUAGCUUUGAUCUUAAUUAAAUUUUAAAUUGGCUACCUUGUUUGAUGAAUAACUUUAAUACAAUUUGAGAGCCACGUGAUUGCAUGUAUAUGACAAUAGGUGUUGUAGAUGAAGGUUCUUGCUUACGCAUUUAGGUUAUACUUCAUCUCUCUCUCUCUCUCUCUCUCUUUCUCUCUCUCUCUCUCUCUCUCUCUCUCUCUCUCUCUCUCUCUCUCUCUACAUUAGGCAUAAUAGAUUGAAAUAGCAUGAUUUCCAUAAUAGGUGUGAAUGGUUGGGCAAGAAAGUCAAAAUUUGCUAGUCAUAGUCAAAGUAACAAAAAAAUAUUCAAUUUAUGCUAUUUUAUUAAGGUUAUUUAGGGAGUACUUUCUUAUCUAUAUUGCAUCAUGUAUAUAUAGUGAAUUUUUUUAUUUGUUUUUACAUUUAUCCACUAAAUAUAAAUAUAAUUGUUAAAUGAUAUUAUGAUAAAAUAAAGUUGCUAUUUUGCCUUUAUCCUGUAAUAUUGUGACUUAGGACUUAACUACACCUAACACAUGACUAAUCAAAAAAAUAUAUAUAUAUCUAUAAGCCCUUUACUAAGAAAAAUAUAUACACAUCCAAUAUCUUAAAGGUGGCAUGGUUCUGGUCGGCUAUUUGAUCGGCAUUUAUAAAGAUCCCAUGGAAUCCAUAUGGAACUCUAGCAGGCAACUCUAUAGAAGCCACUGUCUCAAGUGUGGGCGAUUUGGCAUCCAUGACCAAAAGCUCCGAGACACCACUUUCCUCAUUGUGGACGUAGCUUAAGACGUAUCCAUCGUCUUCCUCCUUGCCAUUGGCCACAAAGAAAGGCUCGCCACAAAACUUACCACGUUCGAAUCUCCUCGACGCCACAACGCACGGCUCGUUUAGAUCCGGGUCACUUGUUCCAUCGAUUACCACCUGGGCAGCCGUUGAGCGUCCAAAUCGACUUUGGCCAGGCCCGAGAUUUUGGGCCAUGGCCCAUAGUAGCACAUGUAUACGUACCGAUUCUUUCGCCCCAGGAAUUUCUGGUUGAUCUGUCCAAAAUCCAGUCCGGCCGAGCACACGUGUUGCUUCCACGACCGUCCAGAUCGAAGGUCGAGGUGGAUCUCGUGCAAUCUGUUGGACAAUCCGGCGAUAUCGUCAAACAAA
Molecule: long non-coding RNA, 5381 nt
Filed under: Selaginella moellendorffii
Lineage: Eukaryota; Viridiplantae; Streptophyta; Lycopodiopsida; Selaginellales; Selaginellaceae
Description: long non-coding RNA (SMOE_LNC000699)
Source: RNAcentral